UACGUAGGGACCAAGCGUUGUCCGGAAUCAUUGGGCGUAAAGAGCGUGUAGGCGGCUUGUUAAGUCUUGCGUGAAAUCUCGGGGCUCAACCCCGAGCGGUCGUGAGAAACUGGCAGGCUAGAGUGCGGGAGAGGAGAGUGGAAUUCCUGGUGUAGCGGUGAAAUGCGCAGAUAUCAGGAAGAACACCCGUGGCGAAGGCAGUUCUCUGGGACGGUACUGACGCUGAGACGCGAAAGCGUGGGGAGCGAACAGG
RNAcentral lists this ribosomal RNA (253 nucleotides) under uncultured bacterium. RNAcentral's name for it is "partial 16S ribosomal RNA". It matches the Rfam family "Bacterial small subunit ribosomal RNA", at positions 524 to 776 of the family's 1533-position model. The record is from RNAcentral.